This 2352-nucleotide long non-coding RNA is filed under the name Chinchilla lanigera (long-tailed chinchilla). RNAcentral's name for it is "lncRNA (ENSCLAG00000026707.1)". Lineage: Eukaryota; Metazoa; Chordata; Mammalia; Rodentia; Chinchillidae. The record is from RNAcentral.
CGAGGGCUCAAAAAGAUUAGGAAGGGUGAGAACUAGAAAGACUAUCCAGUUUAGCAGGAAUGUGAUGAUGAAAAGAUCUCAAGUAAUGGUGAUUGAUUCCCACUGAAGGUACUAUCUCUCCUUGUAGCUGUAUUAGUUCUCUCAUUGCUGGACACAAUACCCAACACUCAUAAAUUUUUUUUUUUCUUUUUGAGACAGGUUCUCGCUAUUCAGGUCAGGCUGGCCUUGAGCUCACUUUGUAGCCCAGGCUGGUCUUGAACUCACAACAAUCCUCCUGCCUCAGCCUCCCAAGUGCUGGAAUAACAGGAGUGCAUCACCACACCUGGCUACACUCAAUUUAAAUGCAUACCAAAAGUUUAAUUUGCUCCUGGUUUUCGUCCAUAAUCAGCUAGCUCCAAGGAAAACACGUCACGAUGAAAGGGUCUACUAUAGCACAGAUGCUAAGCUCAUGGUGUCCAGGAAACAGAGCAGGCAAAGAGAGCCAGAGAGGAAUGGGCCAUGGAUCAGAUAUAGUACCCAAGGUCCAUGGCCCUCUCCCACACCCAGAUUCCUAUUAAUGAAAAUCUCCUUUUUCAGUCCCCUCUGAAGGUGUUUCCCCCAGAUUCCUCAUGCUGGCCUGAAACUGACUUCAGAUGUGAAGACAGAAAGCAGAUACAAUGCCCUGCACAAUUCAUGGCUCUAGAAGGCACUUGCCCAGGACUUGGGGAGGUGACUGAAGAGAUCUUCAGAAUCCGGAGGAGCUACCCACACUGACGGAUCAGCGACAGUGUUCAUGUGCUGUCAUGGCGCCCAGCACCCAGCACUGACCUUCAGAGAAUAAAAAUGCUACUUCACUUUUACUUCUCAAUCAUGAGCCAGUUUCUCUUGUGGUCAACCUUGAACUGGAACCAUGUAGGGAAAGGGAUUCUGGGAAAGGUAGUUCAGUGUAGAGUAAAUUGAUAGGCUACAAAGCUACUGGAUUCUACUGUCAGCUUAACAUUCACAAACACUUCUGUUAACUAUGCUUAACUGCAGAUGAAGAUAAGAUCAAAAUCAUGCUUCUACUUCACAUAACACCAUCUUUCAUGGAACUGACAACGCUAUCACUCUCUUAAGAGAGGAUAUAAGGUCCCUUUAUCUAUCUCUGGAUAUUCAUUCUUUUUCCCCCGAGUCACACGCUCCUUUGAUAUCUUGUUACUUAAUUCUAUUCUGGUUAUUUGCUGAACAAUAAACCAAUUAAAACCUACAGCCAUUAAAAUAACCAUCACAGAAUUUGUGUGGCAGGAAUUUGAAGAGGGCACAGCAAGGAUGGUUCGUCUGAGCUCCAUAAUGCCUGUGUUGGGAUCAAACAGCAGGAGUGGGAACAGUGGGGGUCAGAAUCCACUGUCAAGAUGGCUCUUCACUCUCAUUUCCGAAAUCUGAUUUAUGUGGCUCAAGGCAGCCUCAUCUGGAAUGAUCAACUGGAGGCUCUGCAUGCAGCCUAUACUGCAUCUUAGAACAGCUGGGCCACUAACAAGGAUGCUCAGAGAUCCAAAGUGAGUUUUUCAGCUAACAAGGUAGAAAUCGUAUGGUUGUUUAUGAUACAGCUUUGGAACUUGCAGCCCAUACUGCAUCUUAGAACAGCUGGGCCACUAAUAAGGAUGCUCAGAGAUCCAAAGUGAGUUUUCUAGCAAACAAGGUAGAAACCGUAUGGUUGUUUAUGAUACAGCUUUGGAACUUACCUAGUGUAGAAGCUUGAAAGGGCACAGGAGUUUGGAAGUCACCAACUCGUUGAAGAAAUUACAGACCUCCUAGAUCAAGGGGAGAGAAUAUAAACUCCCCUUUGAUGGGUAGAUGAUCACAAAAUUUAAGGCCAUGUUUCAAAAUCACUACCUGGAGCUUUGUCUGGACUAUCACGCUUAUAUGCAAUAUCGGCUAGUGCACCUGUGGGCCAUUCUUGAGCACAAUUUUGAAUGCUCUUCAUUUCUCAUGUGAAUAAACCGAUGAGAGGACUGCCUAUGAGAAUAUCACUUUGCCUUCCUUUCCGUGUGUCACUAGGUUUCGUAAAAACCCACCCACUUGUCAAGGUUAAGCUCACAUUCCAAUUUUUCUAAAAUUUACCAGGAAGGAAUCCCUCACUGAUAAUGACUGGGCUUGAGACCCUGGUCUAACCACUUAUCUUGUGGCAUACAGGAUUCUUAAUGGCUUCAGCUGACAAUAACGAGAGGAAUGGUCAACUAGUCAAUGAAUAAUGAUAUGAAAGUGUUUUGGGCUAAUUCAUGAAGCUGAGAAACUCAUUUGAUUUUGAAUUAAAGAACAAUUUUGGCCAAAAUAUUGUUCUACCUUAAAAAAAGUUUAAGAAUUAGCAUAGUUAAAGAAAAAGAAAAAUAAAUG